AACCUCCGCAAUGUGAGAAAUCGCGACGGGGGGAUCCCAAGUGCCAUUCUUAACGGGAUGGCUUUUCUUAAGUGUAAAAAGCUUUUGGAAUAAGAGCUGGGCAAGACCGGUGCCAGCCGCCGCGGUAACACCGGUAGCUCGAGUGGUAGCUGUUUUUAUUGGGCCUAAAGCGUUCGUAGCCGGUUUGAUAAGUCUUUGGUGAAAGCUUGUAGCUUAACUAUAAGAAUUGCUGGAGAUACUAUCAGACUUGAAGUCGGGAGAGGUUAGAGGUACUACCGGGGUAGGGGUGAAAUCCUAUAAUCCUGGGAGGACCACCUGUGGCGAAGGCGUCUAACUGGAACGAUCUUGACGGUGAGUAACGAAAGCCAGGGGCGCGAACCGGAUUAGAUACCCGGGUAGUCCUAACUGUAAACGAUGCGGACUUGGUGUUGGGGUGGCUUUGAGCUGCUCCAGUGCCGAAGGGAAGCUGUUAAGUCCGCCGCCUGGGAAGUACGGUCGCAAGACUGAAACUUAAAGGAAAU
Molecule: ribosomal RNA, 521 nt
Filed under: uncultured bacterium
Lineage: Bacteria
Description: bacterial SSU rRNA
Rfam family: Archaeal small subunit ribosomal RNA
Source: RNAcentral